RNAcentral lists this ribosomal RNA (462 nucleotides) under uncultured bacterium. Its description in RNAcentral is "bacterial SSU rRNA". It matches the Rfam family "Bacterial small subunit ribosomal RNA", at positions 29 to 506 of the family's 1533-position model. The record is from RNAcentral.
ACGAACGCUGGCGGCGCGCCUCAUACAUGCAAGUCGAACGAGAAGCCUGGAGCUUGCUCCGGGUGGAGAGUGGCGAACGGGUGAGGAACACGUGAGGAACCUGCCCCGAAGACUGGGAUAACACCGGGAAACCGGUGCUAAUACUGGAUGUCCUCACCGGAUCGCAUGGUCCGGUGAGGAAAUGGAUUCCGCUUCGGGAUGGCCUCGCGGCCUAUCAGCUUGUUGGUGGGGUAACGGCCCACCAAGGCUUCGACGGGUAGCUGGUCUGAGAGGAUGUCCAGCCACACUGGGACUGAGACACGGCCCAGACUCCUACGGGAGGCAGCAGUAGGGAAUCUUGCGCAAUGAGCGAAAGCUUGACGCAGCGACGCCGCGUGCGGGAUGAAGGCCUUCGGGUCGUAAACCGCUUUCAGCAGGGACGAAAUUGACGGUACCUGCAGAAGAAGGCCCGGCCAACUACGU